UGUAACUGGGAUUACAGGAGAGAGACACCACACCCAACUUAUAAAUAAAUAAAUAAGAAAUGUUUAAUGCACACAAAGACUUGCACACAAAUGUUCACAGACUUUUUACAAUGUAUUACCAAGCUAUAAAGCAGGAACCAAGUUGUGGAACAUGUUCACAGUGGAAUUCUGUUCAGCAAUAAGAAGGAAUGAAUUCUUGCUACAUGCAGCAACAUGAAUAGAUUUCAAAAUAACUAUGAACAAAAUAAGGCAACCAAGAAUGUAUGAUUCAGUUUCCAUCAUGUUCUAGAAAAUGCAAACUAAUCUAUUGUGAAAGAAAGCAUUUCAGUUGCCUGCAGACAGGAGGGGUCAGAGGAAGAGAUUCUAAAUGGACACGAGGCAUCACUGUUGUGUGGACAGGCAAAAUGUGGCUGACCUGUGCAGGGGAUUGUCGUUCUGCCCUGAAAAGGAAGGCUACUGUGACCCAUGCUGCAGCCCAGGUGAACGUGCAGGUGUGCCCAGCAGGGAAGGCUGUCCCGAGAAGACAGACAUCACAUGUGGCCAUUCAGGCUCCUGUAGUAAAAUGCCUUUGACAGUGUGAUUCAUAAGUAACAAAAAUUUGUUCCUCACUGUGCUGGAGGUUGGGAAGUCCAGAUCAAGGUGCCAGCAGAUUGGGGGGCAGAUGUCAUGUGACUUGUCCCUUGCCUCAAAGAUGACGUCUUCUUAUGGGUCCUCACAUGGAGGGAGGGACUCUUUGAUCAGGGCAUUCAUGAGGGUGCUGAGCUAAUCAUCCUUGUGAGCUAAUCAUUCCCCAAAGCUCCAUUCUUGAAUACUGCAUAUGGGGCAUCAGGUAGAGUCAAAGUAGAUUCCUCAGGGGACCCAAACCGACAAACCAUAGCAAUGUGACUCUGUAUCUGUGAAGGACACAGAGACUCAGACUCACAGAGACAAGGUGGAAUGUGGUUAUUGGGGUGACAGAGAAUUUGGGUUUAAUAGAAGUUUCAGAUUGGGCAGAUAAAAAACUCGUGUGGCUGGAUGGUAGUGAUGGUUUGAUAAUAAUGUGAAUACGCUUGAUAUCUCUGAACUGAAUGCCUAAAAAUGGACAAGAGGGUAAAUUUUUAUUUCAUGUACUCAUCUUGAUGGGGGUGGCUUCAUGGGGAUAUACGUGAGUCAAAGCUUAUCAAAUUUUUAAGUGUAGGGCUUAUGGCUGAUCAAUCAUAUCUUAACAAAGCUGCUUGAAAGUAACAAAUGUCUUUGCAAAGGGGCACUGCCUAUCUGAGCAGGAGAGCCUUUAUUAAACCUAGUGUGUUUAUGGACAUGAAUUCCUUCACCUUCUGCUAAUUGGUCUUAUAUCAAUAACUGGGGACUCUGCUUUAAUCCAUAAGAAAGUAAUUUGGGAAGAAAACCUGAGCUUGCAGUGGGAAGACUCAGAGGGAAGACUCCUUGUUCG
This 1429-nucleotide long non-coding RNA is filed under the name Marmota monax (woodchuck). Lineage: Eukaryota; Metazoa; Chordata; Mammalia; Rodentia; Sciuridae. The record is from RNAcentral.